AGUCGAGUGCUUCCUUCGGUGAGGAGCGGCAGACGGGUGAGUAACGCGUGGGAACAUACCUAAUAGUACGGAAUAACAGUUGGAAACGACUGCUAAUACCGUAUACGCCCUUAGGGGGAAAGAUUUAUCGCUAUUAGAUUGGCCCGCGUUGGAUUAGCUAGUUGGUGAGGUAACUGCUCACCAAGGCGACGAUCUAUAGCUGGUCUGAGAGGAUGAUCAGCCACACUGGGACUGAGACACGGCCCAGACUCCUACGGGAGGCAGCAGUGGGGAAUAUUGGACAAUGGGCGCAAGCCUGAUCCAGCCAUGCCGCGUGAGUGAUGAAGGCCUUAGGGUUGUAAAGCUCUUUCGCUAGGGAAGAUAAUGACGGUACCUAGUAAAGAAGCCCCGGCUAACUUCGUGCCAGCAGCCGCGGUAAUACGAAGGGGGCUAACGUUGUUCGGAUUUACUGGGCGUAAAGCGUACGUAGGCGGAUUAGAAAGUAAGGGGUGAAAUCCCGAGGCUCAACCUCGGAACUGCCUCUUAAACUUCUAGUCUAAAGAUCGGGAGAGGUGUAUGGAA
Molecule: ribosomal RNA, 561 nt
Filed under: uncultured Alphaproteobacteria bacterium
Lineage: Bacteria; Pseudomonadati; Pseudomonadota; Alphaproteobacteria
Description: bacterial SSU rRNA
Rfam family: Bacterial small subunit ribosomal RNA
Source: RNAcentral